GUUUUUCUCAGCUUUAUAUGUUUUUUUUUUUUUUUUUUCAAUUCUACAGUCUUGAUAAUCGCAGCUUUCAGUUACAGACUUAGCAUGUGGACUUGCAGUGUUAGGAUUCCCAACACCUCAACUGGAAGAAAAGAGAUUGGAGGUGGCAGUGGAAGGGACAGGGCACAAGAAAGAAAAGGAAAGGAACGCGGACGCUCGCACACAACUUCUUACAAUGGCUCUAGCAUGCCCUUCCAUUGGUAGGAAUCCUUUUGAUCAAAUCCUUGCCCUGGGCUGGAAGUGUUUUAAUGAGCAUACAGACAUCGUCUUUUUUUCCUCGGUCUAUUUUGUGUUCUUAAGGAUAGAUAAGUAAAGUGUGCACUUAAAUGAUCAUGUGUGCGCUUCUUAACUGUGCUCUAGAGGGAACGCGUGGUGCUUGAACGCAGAGGCUGAACAGUGCCAGCCUGAAGGACAAGAAAAAUAGCAGAGGAGGAAACUUGAACUGAAGUGAACUUGUUUCUUUUAACAUUUUGUUUUCUUCUGGAGGAGGAAUAAGAAGCCUGCAGACAGGUGGGGAUUUGGGGGCGAGAGGUGUUUUGUGCAGACUUCCAUAUCUUGCCGAAUUUCCCCAGCACUGUUUUUUUGUUUUCUUUUUUGAGAUUCCCAUCAAGGCUACUGUGAUUCCUCCAUCCUUUUGCCUCCAUCCCACUGGGGGCGGGUGACACCAUGAUGAGUGGCAUCUUCCAGCCCCUGCAUCAGGAUGCCCUGCACAGCUCCUGGUUUUAAAGGCAGGGGUGCAGGGAAGAUGGAAGCCAAGACCUCUGUGCAGAAGAAGCAGAGCUUUCCCCAAACUGGGAUGGCAAGAGUUGAAAAAAAGUUUAGCCUUGAGAGCAGCUGCCAAAAUCAAAACCUUUUUCAAAGUUUUUUUGAUGUGAAUCGCAGGAGGUGCGACUACUGGGAUUUGCAUCCAAACAGGAACCCUGCAGGUUUCUUCAAAUCCUGGUGACAAAGGUAUGACAUUUAUGAUUUGGGACUGUUAUUCCACAUGUGUGAAUUGCCAAAACAAAGCUUUUGAAAACAGCAACUUUUAUUUGUGACUGAUGCGUUUUGUAAACAAGAAAGUGCCAACGUUGACACGUGGUCUGUUCAGCUCAGGGUACCCACUGCUUCCCAGGUACGACUGCUGCCCUGAGCUCACUGCGGUAUUAACGAUGCUCCUUCGAUAAAGGGAGCACUGUUACUGCAUAGCUUUGGCUCAGGUAACAGGUAAGUGUGAAGUAACUGUACACUUUUAGCGAUGUGGUACUGGGUGAGCACUGGAAAUUUAUCUCAUAGGAAAUAGUUUUGGAUGAGUCCAGUUUAUUGAGUUAGAUAUUUUGCCUCCAACAAGGGUACAAACAACUCUGGAAAAAAAUUAAACUGACGCAUGUGGAUACCAAGAAAAAGUUCCCUAGUUUACAAUAUUUAGGUGUUCAUAUAAUUUUCUGUAACUGCUGGUGCUAAUUCAGCUCUUGUCAUUAUUAGUGUCCCAUUACUGCCUUUAUAACCAUCUCCUCUGUUAUUGUUGCACAGCUUAAGUAUAUGAUAUAUAAAACAGUUGUGCUUCCAUUUUUAAUUUUACUGCAUUAGUUUAUUUAGGACCCUCAGAUUUAUCCCAUGUAGAUUAGUCAUUAAUCCAUACACUUCUGCUCAUCUUCAUGUGGACUAACCUGAAGUACAGAAAGAA
This is a long non-coding RNA of Anser brachyrhynchus (Pink-footed goose), 1705 nucleotides long. The record is from Ensembl. Lineage: Eukaryota; Metazoa; Chordata; Aves; Anseriformes; Anatidae.